GGGGAAUAUUGCACAAUGGGGGAAACCCUGAUGCAGCGACGCCGCGUGAGUGAAGAAGUAUUUCGGUAUGUAAAGCUCUAUCAGCAGGAAAGAAAAUGACGGUACCUGACUAAGAAGCCCCGGCUAACUACGUGCCAGCAGCCGCGGUAAUACGUAGGGGGCAAGCGUUAUCCGGAUUUACUGGGUGUAAAGGGAGCGUAGACGGUAGUACAAGUCUGAAGUGAAAUGCGGGGGCUCAACCCCUGAACUGCUUUGGAAACUGUAUUACUAGAGUGCAGGAGAGGUAAGUGGAAUUCCUAGUGUAGCGGUGAAAUGCGUAGAUAUUAGGAGGAACACCAGUGGCGAAGGCGGCUUUCUGGACUGUAACUGACACUGAGGCUCGAAAGCGUGGGGAGCGAACAGGAUUAGAUACCCUGGUAGUCCCUGAGACUCGACGA
RNAcentral lists this ribosomal RNA (437 nucleotides) under uncultured Clostridium sp. RNAcentral's name for it is "bacterial SSU rRNA". It matches the Rfam family "Bacterial small subunit ribosomal RNA", at positions 356 to 809 of the family's 1533-position model. Lineage: Bacteria; Bacillati; Bacillota; Clostridia; Eubacteriales; Clostridiaceae. The record is from RNAcentral.